GAUGAACGCUAGCGGCAGGCCUAAUACAUGCCAGUCGAGGGGUAUGGGUUGCUUGCAACCCAGAGACCGGCGCACGGGUUCGUAACGCGUAUGCAAUCUACCUUAAUCAGGGGGAUAGCCCGGAGAAAUCCGGAUUAACACCGCAUAACAUUGAGUUGUGGCAUCACAGUUCAAUCAAAUAUUUAUAGGAUUAAGAUGAGCAUGCGUGACAUUAGUUAGUUGGUGAGGUAACGGCUCACCAAGACCACGAUGUCUAGGGGAUCUGAGAGGAUGACCCCCCACACUGGUACUGAGACACGGACCAGACUCCUACGGGAGGCAGCAGUAAGGAAUAUUGGUCAAUGGGCGCAAGCCUGAACCAGCCAUGCCGCGUGCAGGAAGACGGCCCUAUGGGUUGUAAACUGCUUUUGUACCGGAAUAAACCUUCUCUUGCGAGAGAAGCUGAACGUACGGUAAGAAUAAGGAUCGGCUAACUCCGUG
RNAcentral lists this ribosomal RNA (480 nucleotides) under uncultured bacterium. Its description in RNAcentral is "partial 16S ribosomal RNA". It matches the Rfam family "Bacterial small subunit ribosomal RNA", at positions 28 to 507 of the family's 1533-position model. The record is from RNAcentral.